Molecule: ribosomal RNA, 253 nt
Filed under: uncultured bacterium
Lineage: Bacteria
Description: partial 16S ribosomal RNA
Rfam family: Bacterial small subunit ribosomal RNA
Source: RNAcentral
UACAGAGGAGCCAAGCGUUGUCCGGAUUGACUGGGCGUAAAGCGCACGCAGGCGGAUACGCGCGUGGGGUGUGAAAUCUGGCCGCUUAACGGCCAGGCGCCAUCCCAUACGGCGUGUCUGGAGCUGUGCAGAGGUCGGUGGAAUUGCCGGUGUAGUGGUGAAAUGCGUAGAGAUCGGCAGGAACACCCAGGGGGAAACCAGCCGACUGGGCACAUGCUGACGCUGAGGCGCGAAGGCGUGGGGAGCGAACGGG